This 413-nucleotide unclassified non-coding RNA is filed under the name Hevea brasiliensis (rubber tree). Lineage: Eukaryota; Viridiplantae; Streptophyta; Magnoliopsida; Malpighiales; Euphorbiaceae. The record is from RNAcentral.
AAAUUCACUGUUUGCGCAAAUGAUAUACUCUUAACACAAUAUGGGAUUAAAAAAACACAAGCACGAACAUCUGCAACUUUAGAUGUCACUUGUCUCGACAGGCUAUAAGCACCCGCAACUUUUUCAACAAAAUCAGAUAGUCCUCCCAAAAUUUUCAAUAAAAUCCCUACUAAAUUUGAUGGUAACAAGAAAAAGAAUAACAGAAAAAGGUCUGAUACAACGAGCCAACAAACAACAAAACCAAAGUUUUCAUUCUUGUCAACAUGACUCAAUAAAAGAAACCAAGAACUUUUCCACCAACAUUCUUUCUCCUAGCCUCUUCAUGGUCCAUGAUACCAGCUGAGGUAGUCAGCACAAUGUACCCAAACUGUCGUGAAGGGAGCAAUCUAGCAGUCCAUCCUUCAAUCUCCUUG